This 324-nucleotide ribosomal RNA is filed under the name Triticum aestivum (bread wheat). RNAcentral's name for it is "partial small subunit ribosomal RNA". The record is from RNAcentral. Lineage: Eukaryota; Viridiplantae; Streptophyta; Magnoliopsida; Poales; Poaceae.
AUGGCGCCGCGACGACCCCAUCAUCGCCGUUCCCAGCGGUUUGCAAAGCACAUCUCUAGCACAAACAUCAGAUCGGCGACGGCGAUGCGAUCCAAGUUUGUUGCCGCGGUGACGAUCUUGGUGAUGGUGAUGCUACUGAUCAUGGCGUUGCUCGUCACCGGAAGCUCGGGGCCACGGGUGCUGGGCGGCGAGCCUGCCGUUCAGCCUCCCCGGCACUCGUAUCUGCGGCGGCUGUCGGCGCCGGGAGAGCCAGGCUUGUCGUGCAAGACGAAUAGUCCGACAGGUGGCUGCCGUUGUGAGGCAGACGGACCGGCCGGGGCUUGA